This 1304-nucleotide long non-coding RNA is filed under the name Canis lupus familiaris (dog). RNAcentral describes it as "lncRNA (ENSCAFG00030020843.1)". Lineage: Eukaryota; Metazoa; Chordata; Mammalia; Carnivora; Canidae. The record is from RNAcentral.
AGAUAAUGAUCUUCGCCGAGCGCCACAGCCUUCGCUACGCAGGAGCCGGUUUAUCGCACUUGAGAGGCAGUGUGGGGAGGAAUGUGGUACAAGAGCCGGGGAGAUGGCGCAACUGGGAGGCAGAGGGCUGGCGUCGUGGGUGGGCAGCCCCGGCGCACGUGGUCAGGAAGCUUCUGUCUGGGAUGAACCGAGGAAAGAGGAGCCACCUUCCCCACAGACCCUAUUCAAGGGCCAAAGACAGAGAACUUCUGCGCAUCACCCCACUUUAUCCUCACGCCCAUUUUCCAAAGUCAGGCCCAUGACUACUGCCAUUCACUCAGGAAGAAUCAAGACCUGUGUCAGAAGCAGCAGCUUGGCCUGGGGUAGAAUCGGAGUGGCAGCAGGAGGUUCUUUGCUGCCGUUCCCGCCAAGAGGUGACACGCGUUGCCCUCUCUGGAAUCUGGGCUGGCCUUAGUGGCCAAAUGUGAUAGAACGGACGUUUGGCUCUCUGAGACUAGGUCAUAGGAAGCCUUGCAGCCCCCAGGGCACCUCUUGAAGCAUCCUCGCUGGGCCCCUGAGCUGCCCUGUGCACUAUCUGACCACCCUGAGGCCACCAUGCCAGAGUGGCCAGGUGCAGGGUGCCUUGCUGCUGUCAUUGCCGCAUGCUGCCUUGUGAGCGAAGCUCUCCAGGACUCUCCAGACCAGCCCACCCACCACUGAGGACCACCGAGUCUCCUCCACUGACGUCUGUGGAGAACUCACCCAGCUGAGUCCUGUCCAAAUUCCUGACCCAUAAAACUGAGAUACAACUGGAAGUGGAUGUUUUAUGACACUAAGUUACGGACAAUUUGUUACACGGCAAUAGAUAACGAACUGUAGCAUAGCCCAGCCUAAGAGGUAGUGUGGACUCAGACCCACAUAAUUGUUUCCGAAGCCUGCUCGCUUAGCAAGUCAUGGUGAAGACACAGGGAGGAAGCCUGUCCCUGAUGCUGCUGGAAGGAAGGAGCAGCCCCACGAGGCCCUGGCUCAGCAUGCAGGCCCCUUCCACACCCUCCCUUCACACAUGGACUGCGUUAUUCUGCUCACACUCCAGUUUGCAGGGGGAAGGCAAGACAGGCACUGUGCAUCUCAAGUCCUAUUUUCUCCAAUGUCAGAAAGAGGCAGGGGAAGUGGAAAGAGAGAAAACAAAAGAAAACGAGCAAAACAAUGCAUUUCCAGAGACCGAACACAGGUUACCUGUCCUUCCUCAGGCCGAGCAGUUUGGGCUACGGCUGGAGGGUUCUUUUCAGGUGGGCUCAGCUGUGUGUGCGUUGGGUUCUCGGUGA